Molecule: ribosomal RNA, 253 nt
Filed under: uncultured bacterium
Lineage: Bacteria
Description: partial 16S ribosomal RNA
Rfam family: Bacterial small subunit ribosomal RNA
Source: RNAcentral
UACAGAGGUGCCAAGCGUUAGGCGGAAUCACUGGGCUUAAAGCGUGCGUAGGUGGUGCGUUAAGUCUGUCGUGAAAGCCCCGGGCUCAACCUGGGAACGGCGAUGGAUACUGGCGCGCUAGAGUGCGGUAGAGGAGAGUGGAAUUCCCGGUGUAGCAGUGAAAUGCGUAGAGAUCGGGAGGAACAUCAGUUGCGAAGGCGGCUCUCUGGACCAGCACUGACACUGAGGCACGAAAGCGUGGGGAGCAAACAGG